RNAcentral lists this ribosomal RNA (543 nucleotides) under Triticum aestivum (bread wheat). Its description in RNAcentral is "partial small subunit ribosomal RNA". Lineage: Eukaryota; Viridiplantae; Streptophyta; Magnoliopsida; Poales; Poaceae. The record is from RNAcentral.
AUGGUGGGGAGCGGCAUGCAUGCGCAGCGCGGGGACCCGCUGGUGGUGGGUCGCGUGAUCGGCGACGUGGUGGACCCGUUCGUGCGGCGGGUGGCGCUGCGGGUCGGCUACGCGUCCAGGGACGUGGCCAACGGCUGCGAGCUCAGGCCGUCCGCCAUCGCCGACCCGCCGCGCGUCGAGGUCGGCGGCCCGGACAUGCGCACUUUCUACACGCUGGUGAUGGUGGAUCCGGAUGCUCCAAGCCCCAGCGAUCCCAGCCUUAGGGAGUACUUGCACUGGCUGGUCACCGACAUCCCGGCGACGACAGGAGUGUCUUUUGCGACCGAGGUGGUGUGCUACGAGGGCCCGCGGCCGGUGCUCGGGAUCCACCGGCUGGUGUUCCUGCUCUUCCAGCAGCUGGGCCGCCAGACGGUGUACGCCCCGGGGUGGCGGCAGAACUUCAGCACCCGCGACUUCGCCGAGCUCUACAACCUCGGCCUGCCCGUCGCCGCCGUCUACUUCAACUGCCAGAGGGAGACCGGGACCGGCGGGAGAAGGAUGUGA